GGGCCGCUAGCUCAACUGGCAGAGCAACGGACUCUUAAUCCGUAGGUUGCAGGUUCGACUCCUGCGCGGCUCA
This 73-nucleotide transfer RNA is filed under the name Acidobacteriota bacterium. RNAcentral's name for it is "Acidobacteria bacterium tRNA-Lys". It matches the Rfam family "tRNA". Rfam says of the family: Transfer RNA (tRNA) molecules are approximately 80 nucleotides in length. Their secondary structure includes four short double-helical elements and three loops (D, anti-codon, and T loops). Further hydrogen bonds mediate the characteristic L-shaped molecular structure. tRNAs have two regions of fundamental functional importance: the anti-codon, which is responsible for specific mRNA codon recognition, and the 3' end, to which the tRNAs corresponding amino acid is attached (by aminoacyl-tRNA synthetases). tRNAs cope with the degeneracy of the genetic code in two manners: having more than one tRNA (with a specific anti-codon) for a particular amino acid; and 'wobble' base-pairing, i.e. permitting non-standard base-pairing at the 3rd anti-codon position. Lineage: Bacteria; Pseudomonadati; Acidobacteriota. The record is from RNAcentral.